UAAACGAAUUCGCCCUUACAGUUUGAUCCUGGCUCAGAUUGAACGCUGGCGGCAGGCCUAACACAUGCAAGUCGAACGGAAAGGCCCUGCUUUUGUGGGGUGCUCGAGUGGCGAACGGGUGAGUAACACGUGAGUAACCUGCCCUUGACUUUGGGAUAACUUCAGGAAACUGGGGCCAAUACCGGAUAGGAGCUCCUGCUGCAUGGUGGGGGUUGGAAAGUUUCGGCGGUUGGGGAUGGACUCGCGGCUUAUCAGCUUGUUGGUGGGGUAGUGGCUUACCAAGGCUUUGACGGGUAGCCGGCCUGAGAGGGUGACCGGCCACAUUGGGACUGAGAUACGGCCCAGACUCCUACGGGAGGCAGCAGUGGGGAAUAUUGCGCAAUGGGCGGAAGCCUGAUGCAGCAACGCCGCGUGCGGGAUGACGGCCUUCGGGUUGUAAACCGCUUUCGCCUGUGACGAAGCGUGAGUGACGGUAAUGGGUAAAGAAGCACCGGCUAACUACGUGCCAGCAGCCGCGGUGAUACGUAGGGUGCGAGCGUUGUCCGGAUUUAUUGGGCGUAAAGGGCUCGUAGGUGGUUGAUCGCGUCGGAAGUGUAAUCUUGGGGCUUAACCCUGAGCGUGCUUUCGAUACGGGUUGACUUGAGGAAGGUAGGGGAGAAUGGAAUUCCUGG
Molecule: ribosomal RNA, 671 nt
Filed under: uncultured Propionibacterium sp.
Lineage: Bacteria; Bacillati; Actinomycetota; Actinomycetes; Propionibacteriales; Propionibacteriaceae
Description: partial 16S ribosomal RNA
Rfam family: Bacterial small subunit ribosomal RNA
Source: RNAcentral